GACGUAGGGCGCGAGCGUUGUCCGGAUUUAUUGGGCGUAAAGAGCUCGUAGGCGGCUUGUCGCGUCGUCCGUGAAAACCCACAGCUCAACUGUGGGCUUGCGGUCGAUACGGGCAGGCUAGAGUUCGGUAGGGGAGACUGGAAUUCCUGGUGUAGCGGCGAAAUGCGCAGAUAUCAGGAGGAACACCGGUGGCGAAGGCGGGUCUCUGGGCCGAUAUUGACGCUGAGGAGCGAAAGCGUGGGGAGCGAACAGG
This 253-nucleotide ribosomal RNA is filed under the name uncultured bacterium. Its description in RNAcentral is "partial 16S ribosomal RNA". It matches the Rfam family "Bacterial small subunit ribosomal RNA", at positions 524 to 776 of the family's 1533-position model. The record is from RNAcentral.